Siniperca chuatsi (mandarin fish) is the source of this 1204-nucleotide long non-coding RNA. RefSeq lists it as uncharacterized. The transcript is spliced from 2 exons. The record is from RefSeq and is a predicted model, not a curated record. NCBI's taxonomy places the organism in Eukaryota, Metazoa, Chordata, Actinopteri, Centrarchiformes, Sinipercidae.
GCUGAAACCCGAUCCCCGGCUGCUCUCAGAUCAGUUUGAUGAGGCUGUGAGCAAAAUAGAUGAACAGACACCUGAUGAUCCAGCUGAGUCAAAAGAGGACAGGUUUGGACAGCACCAGACCGGAAUCGGAGAGACUCUCGCUCUGCCAGUGAUCACCGCCUCAGUCUGCCCGUCGGAUCAUCCGGACCUCAGCUACCACGCCACUCUCGCCAUCCGGCCGAUCUUCCCCUCCGGACACUGCCGGCUACCCGCACCACACGCCCGGCUUCACGGAUCCUCCGCCUGGUCAGCUCAGCCUUACUGUUACGCUCGCCAGUCCAGAGUCAGCCCACCUUGUCUCCCUCCAGAGCGCCAUCAGUCACGCCUCCGGGUGACGCCGGAUCCUGCAUUCAUUUGCACUUGCAAUAAUCUGCACAAUAAAAACCGUCCAAUUAACCCAGUUCUGUUUCCGUGAGUUCCUGCAUUUGGGUCCUGAAAAUAGCUCUUACAACAGACUUAGGAUAAGUUUUCAGUAAAUAUCUCGCCCUCUCUCUUCCUCAUCACCCAUACAACUGCGCCAUUGACCUUCUCCCCGGAGACCGCCUGCCUUCCAGCUGUCUGUUUAACCUGUCCCUGUUCCCAUCUGGAAAGAGAGACCAUGGAGAAAUACAUUCAUGAUUCCUUGGCCACAGGAAUUAUCCAGCCAUCUUUUUCCCCUGUUGGUGCAGGACUUUUCUUCGUCUCCAAGAAAGACUGCUCCUUACGCCCCUGUAUCGACAACUGAGGUCUCAACGUCAUCACCAUCAAAAAUAAGUGACCUCUGCCUUUGAACUGAUCCAGGGAGCCACCAUCUUUUCCAAACUGGACGCUUUACAUCCGCACCUGUUCUCAUCCAUCCUGACCCCUCGCGGCAAUUUAUUGUGGAGGGAGGAAACCUCCAACUCUGGGAGAGGGGCGGUUCUCUCCUAGUGCUCAGCCUCCAACCAGAAGCACCAUCCCUGCACCUUCUUCUCCUGCUGUUUGUCUCCUGCCAAGCAAAAUUAUGAUGUUGGGAAUCGGCAGCUGCUGGCUAUCAAGCUCGCCCUGGAGGAAUGCCGGCACUGGCUUGAGGGAGCCUAACAUCCGUUCAUCAUAUGGACAGAACACAAGAACUUGGCCUACAUUCAGCUUAAUGUAGAAAACUUCUGGUCAGUCUUCACUUUGAUGAAUAAAAGAAUAAACUUGA